This 253-nucleotide ribosomal RNA is filed under the name uncultured bacterium. Its description in RNAcentral is "partial 16S ribosomal RNA". It matches the Rfam family "Bacterial small subunit ribosomal RNA", at positions 524 to 776 of the family's 1533-position model. The record is from RNAcentral.
UACGUAGGGUGCGAGCGUUGUCCGGAAUUAUUGGGCGUAAAGAGCUCGUAGGCGGCUUGUCGCGUCGGAUGUGAAAGCCCGGGGCUUAACUCCGGGUCUGCAUUCGGUACGGGCAGGCUAGAGUUCGGUAGGGGAGAUCGGAAUUCCUGGUGUAGCGGUGAAAUGCGCAGAUAUCAGGAGGAACACCGGUGGCGAAGGCGGAUCUCUGGGCCGAUACUGACGCUGAGGAGCGAAAGCGUGGGGAGCGAACAGG